UUCUCUAAUACAAUACUCUUGACCACAUUGUUUGGUUUGAUAGUUUAUUCAUGUCUACUAUCCAAUAUGAAUCUUGUGCAUAUAUGAUUACUUUGAAUGUGAUUUGGAACGCAUUCCUAAAUCUCAUUCAUACUCUGGCCAGAGAUUCUAAAUCAUAUCAUAGAGUAUUCUCCCUCAAACGGUUUGAAAGUUAGAGAUCCCUUGUUGCGCAUUCACUUGCCUCCAUGACUAAGUGGCUUAACCCCAACGAUGCCGUGGACACCCCGAUGGGGUGACUUUGACAUAAUCAAAGAUCAAGGACUUAACCACAAGACAACUGUGAUGCCUCAGGUCAAAGGACUAAUUUGCAUUAUCCCAAACAUGAGUUCUCAUGUGACAUGAGUAUGAGAACUUGUCGUUGAUCACGUUCAGUGAACUCAUUCUUUAUUGAGCACCUACGUACUUGUCUUGAUGUCACACACACCAAUGACUCGAGACUAGUCACUCUCCCUGAGAGAAGAUAUAGCACGUACCGAUCUUGACGGACUGUCAAUGCCCAAUUGGCAAUCCUAUGAUCAGGAACAUUUAGGAUGUGUCUACGAAAGAAUGGUCUCAUGAAUCUAACUUCAUUAGAUUACAUUCUUCCAAUCACAUAUUCCUUGGACUUUAUCGUUUAAGCAUAUAACAUUUAUAUGAGACGGCUCAAACAAUAAUCUUUGCCCUUUAUAUUAAACUAGAUUAGUUUAACAUGUGAAAUGUCCGUAAAGUAUCAUCACAUGAUUGGUUUUAGGGCACAUUUCCAACAUUACACACGUUUAGGGCUUCCACAAAGCAUGAGUGACACCUAGCAGUAUAUCAUGGUUACCCAAGCUAAUCAAAAGAGGUGGAGAACCUAUUCAGUUUAGGAUUACAAAUGCAAUACGGUCUUUCUCUAAUCUAAUACUCUUGACCACAUUGUUUGGUUUGAUAGUUUAUUUAGUCAUGUCUACUAUCCAAUGUGAUUCGUGUGCUUAUAUGAUUACCUUGAAUGUGAUUUGGAACGCUUUCCUAAAUCUCAUUCAUACUCUGGCCAGAGGUUCUAAAUCAUAUCAUAGAGUAUUCUCCCUCAAACAGUUUGAAGGUUAGAGAUCCCUUGUUGUGCAUUCACUUGUCUCCAUGACUAAGUGGCUUAACCCCAAUGAUGCCGUGGACACCCCGAUGGGGUGACUUUGACAUAAUCAAAGAUCAAGGACUUAACCACAAGACAACUGUGAUGCCUCAGGUCAAAGGACUACUUUGCAUUAUCCCAACCAUGAGUUCUCAUGUGACAUGAAUAUGAGAACUCUUCGUUGAUCGUGUUCAGUGAACUCAUUCUCUAUUGAGCACCUACGUACUUGUCUUGAUGUCACACACACCAAUGACUCGAGACUAGUCACUCUCCCUGAGAGAAGACACAACACGUACUGAUCUUAACGGACUGUCAAUGCCCAAUUGGCAAUCCUAUGAUCAGGAACGUUUAGGAUGUGUCUACGAAAGAAUGGUCUCAUGAAUCUAACUUCUUUAGAUUGCAUUCUCCCAAUCACAUAUUCCUUAGACUUAUCGUUUAAGCAUAUAACAUUUAUAUGAGACGGCUCAAACAAUAAUGUUUGCCCUUUAUAGUUAAACUAGAUUAGUUUAACAUGUGAAAUGUCCGUAAAGUAUCAUCAUAUGAUUGGUUUUAGGGCACAUUUCCAACAUAAACCUGUUGGAUGUGAAGAUCGUACCUGUUAUGAUUGUUUCUGGUACGCCGAAUCUAGUCACGAUAUUUUCUUCUACGAAUUUAUAAACUUCUUUAGACAUUAACUCAAAAUUACAAGUAUCCAUGAAUGCUUUGCGAACCCGAAAGAUGGCGUAAUUUUGCUAAUUACAUCCAUGGCCCAUCCUCUGAACGGCCAUGGUUUAGUGACCGAAUGUAGUGAUUCGGCUGAGACCCUUUGUAUAGGACCAUGAAUGUGGCGUAAUUUUGUCGAUUACAUCCAUGUACCAUCAUCUGAAUUAGCCAAUUCAGCCCUUUACGAUUGGCCAAGUGAGCAUGUAACGAAUGACAUCGAUCUGGGCGAUAACCUGAGUGACUGAUGGGAGCAUGUAAUGUCUAAGUUUUGAUGCAGUGAAAAAUAGGGCGAGACAAAGCUUCUCGAUAGUGGAGUAAUUAAUCUCUGGUGGGUUGACAUUUCAGCUAAGGUAAAAAAUGGCAUGUUAUCACCCAGCAUCAUUAGGCAUCUGAUGGAUUCUUCGGUCGCCGAGAUAUAUAGCUUAAGAUGUCUGCCACGUCAUGAUGGGACGAGGACGAGUGGAGUUGUUAAGGAGACCUUGAUCUGCACAAAUGCCUCUUGGUGUUCUGUACGCCAUUCGAAGAUGUCAUAAUCCUUAAGUUUCAAAAGCGUGGAGAAGGCUUUCAUUUUCCCGGCCGAAUUAGCAAUAAAUUGAUGGAGAAAGUUAAUCUUGCUGAGCAACGAUUGUAGUUGUUUCUUAGUCGUUGGGGAUGGAGUGUUGAUGAUUACGCGAGCCUUGUUGUCGUCUACCUUAAUACUAUGAUGAUGUACGAGGAAUCCUAAAACAUUACCGGCUGAUACGCCGAAAGCACAUUUGGUGGGAUUCAUCUUAAGAUUAUGCCAACGCAUACGCAGGAAAGCCUGAUGUAGGUCAUCCAAAUGUGUCUGCCAACAUUCUGAUUUGAUUACAACAUCGUCAAUGUAGACUUCGACAAUGGUACCAAUCAAAUCUUGGAAAAUAGUGUUCAUGGCUCAUUGGCAUGUGGCACCGGCGUUCUUAAGGCUGAAUGGUAUGACGACCCAUUCGUAUGUGCCGAGUGCCCUAGGGCAACGAAAAGCAAUUUUAUGGACAUCAUCUUCGACGAUGAAAAUUUGGUUAUAACCAGCAUGUCCAUCCAUAAAGGAUAAGAUCUCGUGGUGUGCCGCUGCGUCGAUUAACAAAUUUGAAAUUGGCAUUGGAUACUCGUCUUUAGGCGUUGCCAAGUUCAAAUUUCGAAAAUCAAUACAGAUGCACAUGGCACCAUUUUUCUUUAAAACGGGGAUGAUGUUCGCCAGUAUCGAGCUGUCCGAAUAUACUCAACUUUUAAAAGUCGAACGAGUUUAUCUUUUAUGCCGAGUUGUACUUCGGUCAAGAAUCGUCGAGGUGGUUGGCGGAAUGGUUUACACCCAGGUUUGAUGCCCAAUUCAUGUUCAACUAGUGUGUAAUCUAGACCAGGCAUCUCAUGGUAACUCCAAGUAAAACAAUCCUUAAAUUCUUUAAGCAAAUUACAAAGCUCAAUUUUUACAUGUUGGGGUAACAAAGCAUUAAUGAACAAAGGCUGUGGCUCUUCGGCCGUUCCAACAUUUAUUUCUUCUAAUGGAUCUUUAACUUGAUGUUGACUAUCCUUGAGCUCGACCAGUGCAGCCUGAACUUUGUUUAGUGAUAGUAUAGGGCCGUUGUCUCCUUCGGCCAAAAAUUCGACUAAGUUGACACCCGAAUUUGGGUGUUUGGAAAUAGCGUACAAGUGGGCCAGCAGUCGUUCUAUGGUAGAUGAAACCAUGGUUUGGUGUCUGUCCUAUCUUUCUUCAGGCAUCAAUGUUGACGAUUAGAUAGGCCAACCCAAGUCUCGUUGAAUCCUGAUGAACAGUCUCGGCGCCUACAUCGAUCGCUUUCUGGAUCGAAAUUCGAGUGGGUCGCCUUUCCUCGUUUAAACCCUAUAGGGUAAUAUAACCGACAUGGUCAUCGUAAUACCGUGCCUGAAUCAUAUUGGCUUCGAAUGACUGACUGUCGGCUGGAUAAACCACAAUUGAUUUUCCGUCCCAAAAGAUGAAAACUUGAUAUAAAGAAGAGGGAAUGUAAUUUGUUUGAUUCAUCCAAUCCUGACUGAGCAAUGCAUUAUACUCGAUCUUGGAGUCGACAAUAAAAAAUACGGUUAUGUGAUUGCGACCUGCAAUGUUUACCUCUAAAGGAAGCACUCAUUUGGUUUGGGAUUUGUCACCGACGAAGCUGCUCAUGGUUAUUCCUGAUGGGAUGAUUUUGUCAUUGGAUCGUCGUAAUGCUUGCAUGACAGAUAUGGGCAUGAUAUUGACCGUCGCCCACAAUCGACGAAAAUUUUAGAGAUUAGAUAACCUUUAAUGUGAGUUGUGGCAUACAACGGCUUUAAAUGUUGAAGAUUAACCGAGGAUGAGCGGGGAACCAAUAUGGCUAGAGCUGCUUUAAGUUUGUCAUCGUUAUUUGCUUGCCCAUCUUUGGUGGUAGUGACGAAACCGACUUGUGUUGCUUCCUCGGCAACCACAUCACCAUCCAAGAAACUUGGUUGGUGUGCAGUUGGCUGGAAUUCAGCAGGUAAAACAUGAACCAUGCUUAUUUCCAUGUUCUCAAGGACUGAAAGGCCCAUCGGAUCUUGGUCGUCAUCUUCCUGGUUAUCGAGGACUGCAGCUGAAGGAAAAUUUUGUGAAAACAUGUUCAUUUAAGCAACAUCAAUAAGCAUGCAAUUAACAAUUAAAGGCGGAAGCAUGCUAGCAUGCACUUAAAAACAAAACAUUAACCAAGAAAUUCAAAGCCUAGUAGAUUGGUGAACCAUUAAUCAACUCAAAACAAAGUGAGUUGAAAUUGUACCUUUGUAGAUUCCUCUUUGCAUAAGCAAAGGCUAAUCACCCAAAGAGAGGGCCUUCAUUCCUUGCAUCUUAAAUCUAUGGAUUUGGAUGGAAGAAUAGGUUUCUCCAAGUUCCCUAAAUAGGGAACCUCUAAGUCUCUUCACCAAGGAGAGAUUGGAGAAGAAAUGAGUGACCUUGGAGUAGUGGGAUUGCAAGAUGCACCCCCAAGGUGGCCGGCCUCUUUAGAGAGAAAUGGAGAGACAUGUUCUCUCCAAUUUUCUCCAAAACAAACCCUAAUGAAUUUUAGGCUAUAAAGUAAUAUUUAUACCUUUAUUCAUUUGAGUGGCAAACUUGUAAAUAAGUCCAAGUUCACUACCCUUAGCAUCAUGGCCGGCCCUAGGAUAUUUUGGGCUAAUUAGGCCUUUGUGAAUCAUUAUUCAUUAAGUUGUCAUACAACUUAAGUCAAUGGGCUUGACGUUCGAAGCCCAUUGGGCCUUAAUGUCCAAAACUAUCCCGAGGUCUUUAACGAACUUAUUCGUUUGAUUAAUUAACAUAUUAAUUAAUCCUUGCCAUAAAUAAAUGAUUAAACCAUUUAAUUAUUCUUACUCAUCUCCAUUGUAAUCUCCUCCUUACACGGUGUGCGAUCCAUUAGGUUCCUUUUAGCGAGGCAGUGGGCGAUUAAAACCAUUUUACAUCGAUUAUGAAUUGAAACUUACUUUCAAUUCUCCCUUUAGUGAUUACACACGUUUAGGGCUUCCACAAACCAUGAGUGACACUUUGCAGCAUAUCAUGGUUACCCAAGCUAAUCAGAAGAGGUAGAGAACCUAUUCAGUUUGGGAUUACAAAUGCAAUACGGUCUUUCUCUAAUCUAAUACUCUUGACCACAUUGUUUGGUUUGAUAGUUUAUAUGUUCAUGUCUACUAUCCAAUGUGAUUCGUGUGCUUAUAUGAUUUCUUUGAAUGUGAUUUAGAACGACUUUUCUAAAUCUCAUUCAUACUCUGGCCAGAGAUUGUAAAUCAUAUCAUAGAGUAUUCUCCCUCAAACCAUUUGAAGGUUAGAGAUCCCUUGUUGCACAUUCACUUGUCUCCAUGACUAAGUGGCUUAAUCCCAAUGAUGCCGUGGAUACCCCGAUGGGGUGACUUUGACAUAAUCAAAGAUCAAGGACUUAACGACAAGACAACUGUGAUGCCUCAGGUCAAAAGACUAAUUUGCAUUAUCCCAACCAUGAGUUCUCAUAUGACAUGAAUAUGAGAACUCUUCGUCGAUCACGUUCAGUGAACUCAUUCUCUAUUGAGCACCUACGUACUUGUCUUGAUGU
RNAcentral lists this long non-coding RNA (5883 nucleotides) under Malus domestica (apple). RNAcentral describes it as "long non-coding RNA (MDOM_LNC019184)". Lineage: Eukaryota; Viridiplantae; Streptophyta; Magnoliopsida; Rosales; Rosaceae. The record is from RNAcentral.